This 238-nucleotide long non-coding RNA is filed under the name Mytilus galloprovincialis (Mediterranean mussel). The record is from RNAcentral. Lineage: Eukaryota; Metazoa; Mollusca; Bivalvia; Mytilida; Mytilidae.
GUGUGAGUGAGGUAUCCAUGUACUUAUUGACACAUUCUUGUUAGAUUUGUAUUGUUUAAUUACUGGUGUAUUAUAUCAUUUAACCCAUCAUUGAUUUUUUUCUUCUAUUUUUAUAUGGUUAUUUUUGUGACCUGCAUGUAUAUGAGAACACACACAAUCAUGCACAUAAAAAAAACCUCAUAUACAUUUUUGAAAGUCAUUUGAUAUAUAUGAAUUAUUUCAAUUGAGUAUUUUAUUU